UGGCAGACGGGUGAGUAACAUGUGGGUAUCUACCCUUUGGCCUGGAAUAACACGAGGAAACUUGUGCUAAUACCGGAUAAGUCUUUACGGAGAAAGCUUUAUGCACCAUUGGAUGAGCCCGCACUUGAUUAGUUUGUUGGUAGGGUAAUGGCCUACCAAGACUAUGAUCAAUAGCUGAUUUGAGAGGAUGAUCAGCCACAUUGGGACUGAGACACGGCCCAAACUCCUACGGGAGGCAGCAGUGGGGAAUCUUGCACAAUGGAGGAAACUCUGAUGCAGCGAUGCCGCGUGAGUGAAGAAGGCCUUUGGGUUGUAAAGCUCUUUCGUCGGGGAAGAAAAUGACUGUACCCGAAUAAGAAGGUCCGGCUAACUUCGUGCCAGCAGCCGCGGUAAUACGAAGGGACCUAGCGUAGUUCGGAAUUACUGGGCUUAAAGAGUUCGUAGGUGGUUGAAAAAGUUGGUGGUGAAAUCCCAGAGCUUAACUCUGGAACUGCCAUCA
This 499-nucleotide ribosomal RNA is filed under the name uncultured Pelagibacterales bacterium. Its description in RNAcentral is "bacterial SSU rRNA". It matches the Rfam family "Bacterial small subunit ribosomal RNA", at positions 96 to 629 of the family's 1533-position model. Lineage: Bacteria; Pseudomonadati; Pseudomonadota; Alphaproteobacteria; Candidatus Pelagibacterales. The record is from RNAcentral.